CAGUAGCCGCGGUAAUACGAAGGGGGCUAGCGUUGCUCGGAAUGACUGGGCGUAAAGGGCGCGUAGGCGGAUUGUUUAGUUAGGCGUGAAAUUCCUGGGCUUAACCUGGGGACUGCGCUUAAUACAGGCAGUCUAGAGUGAGGAAGAGGGUUGUGGAAUUCCCAGUGUAGAGGUGGAAUUCGUAGAUAUUGGGAAGAACACCGGUGGCGAAGGCGGCAACCUGGUCCUUGACUGACGCUGAGGCGCGAAAGCGUGGGGAGCAAACAGGAUUAGAUACCCCUGUAGUCCCUGUCUCUUAUAC
This 301-nucleotide ribosomal RNA is filed under the name uncultured bacterium. Its description in RNAcentral is "partial 16S ribosomal RNA". It matches the Rfam family "Bacterial small subunit ribosomal RNA", at positions 509 to 807 of the family's 1533-position model. The record is from RNAcentral.